GACGAACGCUGGCGGCGUGCUUAACACAUGCAAGUCGAACGCUGAAGCCCAGCUUGCUGGGUGGAUGAGUGGCGAACGGGUGAGUAACACGUGAGUAACCUGCCCCCUUCUUUGGGAUAACGCCCGGAAACGGGUGCUAAUACUGGAUAUUCACUGAUCUUCGCAUGGGGGUUGGUGGAAAGGUUUUUUCUGGUGGGGGAUGGGCUCGCGGCCUAUCAGCUUGUUGGUGGGGUGAUGGCCUACCAAGGCUUUGACGGGUAGCCGGCCUGAGAGGGUGACCGGUCACAUUGGGACUGAGAUACGGCCCAGACUCCUACGGGAGGCAGCAGUGGGGAAUAUUGCACAAUGGGCGAAAGCCUGAUGCAGCGACGCCGCGUGAGGGAUGACGGCCUUCGGGUUGUAAACCUCUUUCGCUCAUGGUCAAGCCGCAGCUUUGGGUUGUGGUGAGGGUAGUGGGUAAAGAAGCGCCGGCUAACUACGUGCCAGCAGCCGCGGUAAUACGUAGGGCGCGAGCGUUGUCCGGAAUUAUUGGGCGUAAAGGGCUUGUAGGCGGUUGGUCGCGUCUGCCGUGAAAAUCCUCUGGCUUAACUGGGGGCGUGCGGUGGGUACGGGCUGACUUGAGUGCGGUA
RNAcentral lists this ribosomal RNA (629 nucleotides) under uncultured Actinomyces sp. Its description in RNAcentral is "bacterial SSU rRNA". It matches the Rfam family "Bacterial small subunit ribosomal RNA", at positions 28 to 653 of the family's 1533-position model. The record is from RNAcentral. Lineage: Bacteria; Bacillati; Actinomycetota; Actinomycetes; Actinomycetales; Actinomycetaceae.